RNAcentral lists this ribosomal RNA (121 nucleotides) under Aegilops tauschii subsp. strangulata. The record is from RNAcentral. Lineage: Eukaryota; Viridiplantae; Streptophyta; Magnoliopsida; Poales; Poaceae.
UGAUGCGAUCAUACCAGCACUAAAGCACCGGAUCCCAUCAGAACUUCGAAGUUAAGCGUGCUUGAGCGAGAGUAGUACUAGGAUGGGUGACCUCCUGGGAAGUCCCCACGUUUUGCAUUCC